Molecule: small nucleolar RNA, 137 nt
Filed under: Kryptolebias marmoratus (mangrove rivulus)
Lineage: Eukaryota; Metazoa; Chordata; Actinopteri; Cyprinodontiformes; Rivulidae
Description: Small nucleolar RNA SNORA5 (ENSKMAG00000007493.1)
Rfam family: Small nucleolar RNA SNORA5
About the family: ACA5 is a member of the H/ACA class of snoRNA that guide the sites of modification of uridines to pseudouridines.
Source: Rfam by way of RNAcentral
UGCAGCCUUGUCAAAUUCAGUGCUUCCUCCUUCGUGGAUGCCACUGGCCAAAAUGGCUGCUACAGUGAAGGUGUAGCUCAUGGGCCCCACGGUGCUUCACAGUAACCUCUGGGGAUAAAUAUAUACUGCACACAAAC